Molecule: non-coding RNA, 58 nt
Organism: Erinaceus europaeus (western European hedgehog)
Lineage: Eukaryota; Metazoa; Chordata; Mammalia; Eulipotyphla; Erinaceidae
Source: Rfam
GGUUUGUUCUUCUGGACCCAUCACCAGCUGGGAGAUUAAUCGACUACACUGAAAAUGU